GAUGAACGCUAGCGACAGGCUUAACACAUGCAAGUCGAGGGGCAUCGGGACGUAGCAAUACGUUGCCGGCGACCGGCGGAUGGGUGAGUAACGCGUAUGCAACCUGCCCACGACAGGGGGACAGCCCGUUGAAAGACGGAUUAAUACCCCAUAAAACAGGGGUUCCGCAUGGGACUAUUUGUUAAAGGGUUUUCCGCGAGGGGGAUCCGGUUGUGGAUGGGCAUGCGUUCCAUUAGGCAGUUGGUGAGGUAACGGCUCACCAAACCGACGAUGGAUAGGGGAACCGGGAGGUUGGUCCCCCACACUGGUACUGAGAUACGGACCAGACUCCUACGGGAGGCAGCAGUGAGGAAUUUUGGUCAAUGGACGGAAGUCUGAACCAGCCAAGUCGCGUGAAGGAAGGCGGCCCUAAGGGUUGUAAACUUCUUUUGUAAGGGAAUAAAGGCCGGUACGUGUUACCGGUUUGCAGGUACCUUACGAAUAAGGAUCGGCUAACUCCGUG
RNAcentral lists this ribosomal RNA (502 nucleotides) under uncultured bacterium. Its description in RNAcentral is "bacterial SSU rRNA". It matches the Rfam family "Bacterial small subunit ribosomal RNA", at positions 28 to 507 of the family's 1533-position model. The record is from RNAcentral.